Podarcis muralis (Common wall lizard) is the source of this 592-nucleotide non-coding RNA. Lineage: Eukaryota; Metazoa; Chordata; Lepidosauria; Squamata; Lacertidae. The record is from RefSeq and is a predicted model, not a curated record.
UGAUAUAUGUCGUGAACAGGGAUGGAGCGAAAUAAUUAUUUCUCUGGAAAAAUUCCACUGCUGUACUGGUAUUGUGCUGGCAGCUGGAUGUGACCCUGGAAUUUGUGUUGCAUGAACAAAGGUAGAGAGGAAUCAAGGGCAGAGGGAUGAUCAGAUGACCAGAUUUGAAGAGAAGAGCCAGGAGGUAGCUGUCGAGGAGGAAAGUCAGCUAUAAAGUCAGCUCCCACGCCAUAUGCCAGUUUAGGCAUGCCGUAAUGACAUGAGGGCAGCAGAUGUAGUCGCUGAUUUUGACUGAGUGGAACUGCGUGAUUUCUGGACAUUUUCUUGGUGACUAUGAUUUUUGGGAGAGCAGAGCAAUGGAAGCUGAGAGCAGAAACCAGCCAACUGGCAAGAAAAAAUAUAACUGCAGAAGACUAAUGGUGGCUGCUGGGAGUUUGCUGCCUAAGCUAUGGAAGAAGAAGCUGCCUGGGACUCAGCAGAUGUACUGGGUGUCAACUGGCAUUGAAUUAAUGCUCAGCUACAAUUUCUGAAUAUAUAUUUUUUUUAAUGAUUAUGAGUUUGUGUUGAGCUGGAUUAAUUGUUUAUUGACUUG